This 73-nucleotide transfer RNA is filed under the name Acropora cervicornis. RNAcentral describes it as "tRNA-Thr". It matches the Rfam family "tRNA". From Rfam's summary of the family: Transfer RNA (tRNA) molecules are approximately 80 nucleotides in length. Their secondary structure includes four short double-helical elements and three loops (D, anti-codon, and T loops). The record is from RNAcentral. Lineage: Eukaryota; Metazoa; Cnidaria; Anthozoa; Scleractinia; Acroporidae.
GGCCUGAAAGCUCAACUGGUAGAACAAUGCAACAGUAUUGCAUAGUUCAGGGUUCGAAUCCCUGUUCAGGCCU